UUAGGCCUGUGUGGCUGCUGGCAGCGCGGGGCCGGGAAGCCUCAGGGGGACCUGGGCCUGGGGCGGCUGACCCUGCGGGGAGGAGCCCGGCAGGCGGUCUCGGAGGGCAGCCCCGCGGGGGACGUGCUCAUGCGGGGAGUCGGUCAGCUUCUGCGGGAAAGAUGGGACGUGCGGGGCGCGGGGCGCGAGCUGGGGGCCGGCCUUGCUCAGGCUCCCGGUCCUCCGGGCAUCGGCCUCCCCGCUCUGCCUGCACCAGCGGCUCAGGGCGGCGCCUUCCGAGUCGGGGUUUGUUUCUGAGAAAGACGCCCUUUCCCAGGCCGCCCGCCCGCCCUGCAGAGGGCGCGUGAGCCCGCGUGCCUCUGCCCUGUGUGGCCCACGCUCGGGAUGCUGCCCCAGGACUUCCGGGGCCCAACUCCUCCGGUGUCGGUCCGGGACCCUCCUCAGCCACAGGGUUCGGCUCAGAAUGUCCCCGAGUUGUAGUAAAAGCCACGGACCCCGACCCCCGGCAGCCAGUCAGGCGUCCGCUGGACGGGGCACCGGAGGUCGUUGUCCGCUUCCCCCGUCAGCCUUCCCCGCCGCGGGAAGGGCGCCGGGAAGGACGCGCUGCAGAGGCCUCAUCACAGUGCCCCGGGCUCAUCACGGAGCCUCGGGCUCAGAGCGAGGAGCUCUCUGCACGCGGGUCCAUGAGGCUCCAGGUCUGGGGUUUCAGCAGCGUCCCCGUGGGGCCCAGAGUGGGUCACGCCCCUGGGGUGCGUCCCUGAGCUGCUCUCGAGUCAUUUAUCCAUCAGACACCUGCAGAUCUGCGUGCAAGUCCCAUCGGAACCAAUGUGCGAGCUUAACAACUUCAGCACCAUGAACGGCAUUGCUCGUUUUAAAUGCUCCACUGAUGAUAGUUUAUAUUGAAGACAUCAAAUACGUUCAGAAUUUCAGAAUAUCCCUUGUCUGGGCGCUGGCCUCUGUGAAGUUGUUCCCUCCUGCCCAUCUGCGCCUUUCUCUGGAGGCUUCUAGCAUUUAGUGUUUGCCCUUCAGCAAUGACGCGUGUAUAUCACACUCUAACCCAGCCCUGGGCAAACUACGGCCUGCGGGCCGGAUCCGGCCCCUUCGGCUGUUCUAUCCGGCCUGCGGAGGGUUCUCUUGCUCUCCCCUCUGCUCCUUCACCAGCAGCAGUGUUAACAUGGCAACGUCGGGAAACAGGGCCGCAGCUCCUUCUUCUGAGUGGGCGGAUAUAGAAGGAACAACCUCUCAAUCUUCCAGAGGCUCCUUGUAAUGCCCGCGGACGCGUCUCCCGACAUCACCCUGGGAAUGCGUAGACACGUUAUCGUGGUGAUGCAGGGAGGCACGCCCCUGGAGAGCACAGUGUCAGAGCCUUUCUGAGUAAAGAAUUUAAUAAGAGAACGGUACUGUUGGUUUUAGCCCAAUAUUAAACAUGAGUGGACCAAAGAAAAGGAAAGUGGACAGUGAAUGCCGAGUGUUUAAGAGGGAGUGGACAACAAAAUAUUUUUUCACCGAAGUCCGAUCAAUGCCGGUAUGUCUGAUAUGCCAGGAAACACUUGCAGUCUUCAAAGAGUACAAUCUCAGCCAUCACUUUGCCACAAAGCAUGGCAACUAUGCUAGCAAGCAGCCACCUCAAGAACGGGAGGCUACUGCACAGAGGUUGAUGGCUAAAUUACAGGCUCAGCAAAAUGUCUUUCACAGACAAACUGCAAUUCAAGAGACAACUACCAAAGCAAGUUUUAUGCUAUCAUUCAAAUUAGCAAAAGCUAGCAGACCUCUCUCUGAAGGCGAGUUUUUGAAAGAAUGUAUGAUAGAGACAGCAGGUCUCUUGUGUCCAGAGAGCAAAGGCAAGUUUGAAAAACUCAGCUAAUCGCGCAGGACAGUGACUCGUCGAGUGGAACUGAUUGAUGAAGACUUGGCCAGCAAGUUAAAUAGUAAGGCAGAGUUCCUUAAGUUUUAUUCACUAGCAUUGGAUGAAAGUAAUGACGUAAAGGACACUGCUCAGCUCUUAAUUUUUAUCCGAGGGAUUAGUGACAAUUUUGAAAUUACGGAGGAGUUUUUAGCCAUGGAGCCACUGAAAGGAAAAACACGGGGAGAGGACUUGUAUGACCGGGUGUCUACUGUCAUCGAGAAAAUUAAGCUACCAUGGAGUAAACUUGCUAAUGUCACGACAGAUGGAUCUCCAAAUUUAACUGGAAAAAAUGUUGGACUGCUAAAAAGAAUUCAGGAUAAAGUGAAAGAGGAGAACCCUAACCAAGAUGUUAUUUUUCUUCACUGUAUUAUUCACCAGGAAUCAUUGUGCAAGUCUAUAUUACAACUUAAUCAUGUUGUUAAUCCAGUCGUAAAGCUUGUUAAUUUCAUUCGAGCAAAGGGACUUCAGCACCGUUAGUUUAUUAAGUUUCUGGAGGAAACUGAUGCAGAUCACCAUGACUUACUUUACCACUCUCGUGUCCACUGGUUGAGUUUGGGCAAAGUUUUCCAACGAGUGUGGGAGCUCAAAGAAGAGAUUGGUGCAUUUUUGAAAUUAAAGGGGAAGUCUGACGAAUUUACUGAGCUGAGUGACAAGAAUUGGCUGUGUGACUUUGCAUUUGCUGUAGAUAUAUUUUCACAUUUGAAUGAGCUAAAUGUGAAGCCACAGGGAAAAGAUCAGUAUGUACAUGACAUGUACACUAAUGUGAAAGCCUUUAAAUCGAAGCUGAUUUUCUUUUCCAGACAAAUUUCAGACAAAGUCUUCACUCAUUUUGCCACACUAGCCACACAGAAGGAGACCAUCCAAAACGUGAAGAAAUACAGCAAGUCACUGGAUGACCUGCAUGCAGAAUUCUGUCAUCGGUUUUCUGAUGUUGAAAAAAUUGACCAGUCACUUCAACUGGUGGCCUGUCCUUUGUCACAAAACCCUGAAACAGCACCAGAAGAGGUGCAACUGGAACUCAUCGAUCUUCAGUCUGACUUUGUCCUAAAGGAGAAAUUCAGCUCUCUUGAACUAAGAGACUUUUAUGCUUCACUUAAUGAAGCCACUUUUCCAAACAUCUGGAGGAUGGCACAGAAGAUACUGGUGCUGUUUGGGUCCACCCAUGUUUGUGAGCAGACAUUCAGCAUCAUGAACAUCAACAAAGCCCCUCACAGAUCCAGCUUAACUGACGAACGCCUCAGGUCUAUCCUGAGAAUAGCCACAACAAAACUAACUCCAGACUUUGAUGCGUUAGCUAAAAAAGGAUACCAACAACACUGUUCCCACUGAAGUUGAUGUUUUAAAGACCAAAAACCUUUCAACCCAGUCUACAUUUCCAUCUACAUCUACGUCCCGGGCAUAAUUUGGAAGUUGCACUAAAGAAAAUCUUUAAUUUACUGUUUACACAUUUUGUUCUUUUCUAUUUGUUUUAGUUUUAAAUUAUUUUAUUGUAUUUAAGUUUAAUUUGAAAGGCUUUUGUACCUUUCCUUUGUUAGGCAAUUUUAUUUUGCC
This is a long non-coding RNA of Myotis myotis, 3457 nucleotides long. RefSeq lists it as uncharacterized. The transcript is spliced from 3 exons. The record is from RefSeq and is a predicted model, not a curated record. NCBI's taxonomy places the organism in Eukaryota, Metazoa, Chordata, Mammalia, Chiroptera, Vespertilionidae.